RNAcentral lists this ribosomal RNA (514 nucleotides) under fungal sp. WEF8. Its description in RNAcentral is "eukaryotic LSU rRNA". The stretch from base 167 to 320 matches the Rfam family "5.8S ribosomal RNA". Lineage: Eukaryota; Fungi. The record is from RNAcentral.
CGGAGGUCUUACAGAGUUAUCCAACUCCCAAACCCAUGUGAACUUAUCUCUUUGUUGCCUCGGCGCAAGCUACCCGGGACCUCGCGCCCCGGGCGGCCCGCCGGCGGACAAACCAAAACUCUUGUUAUCUUAGUUGAUUAUCUGAGUGUCUUAUUUAAUAAGUCAAAACUUUCAACAACGGAUCUCUUGGUUCUGGCAUCGAUGAAGAACGCAGCGAAAUGCGAUAAGUAAUGUGAAUUGCAGAAUUCAGUGAAUCAUCGAAUCUUUGAACGCACAUUGCGCCCAUUAGUAUUCUAGUGGGCAUGCCUGUUCGAGCGUCAUUUCAACCCCUAAGCACAGCUUAUUGUUGGGAACCUACGGCUUCGUAGUUCCUCAAAGACAUUGGCGGAGUGGCAGUGGUCCUCUGAGCGUAGUAAUCUUUUAUCUCGCUUCUGUUAGGUGCUGCCCCCCCGGCCGUAAAACCCCCAAUUUUUUCUGGUUGACCUCGGAUCAGGUAGGAAUACCCGCUGAACUU